Long non-coding RNA from Melanotaenia boesemani (Boeseman's rainbowfish), 101 nucleotides. RefSeq lists it as uncharacterized. The record is from RefSeq and is a predicted model, not a curated record. The transcript has 3 exons. Lineage: Eukaryota; Metazoa; Chordata; Actinopteri; Atheriniformes; Melanotaeniidae.
AAAACAACAUAGGGAGGAUUGUUAGUAAAAGAGCUCAAGACACAAACAUCCGUCACCACACAGCGCUCUGUUACAGCAACAUGCCAAACAAACAUGUUUAA